RNAcentral lists this ribosomal RNA (1033 nucleotides) under uncultured Rheinheimera sp. RNAcentral describes it as "bacterial SSU rRNA". It matches the Rfam family "Bacterial small subunit ribosomal RNA", at positions 262 to 1277 of the family's 1533-position model. Lineage: Bacteria; Pseudomonadati; Pseudomonadota; Gammaproteobacteria; Chromatiales; Chromatiaceae. The record is from RNAcentral.
GGCUCACCUAGGCGACGAUCCGUAACUGGUCUGAGAGGAUGAUCAGUCACACUGGAACUGAGACACGGUCCAGACUCCUACGGGAGGCAGCAGUGGGGAAUAUUGGACAAUGGGCGAAAGCCUGAUCCAGCCAUGCCGCGUGUGUGAAGAAGGUCUUCGGAUUGUAAAGCACUUUAAGUUGGGAGGAAGGGCAGUAAGUUAAUACCUUGCUGUUUUGACGUUACCAACAGAAUAAGCACCGGCUAACUUCGUGCCAGCAGCCGCGGUAAUACGAAGGGUGCAAGCGUUAAUCGGAAUUACUGGGCGUAAAGCGCGCGUAGGUGGUUCAGCAAGUUGGAGGUGAAAUCCCCGGGCUCAACCUGGGAACUGCCUCCAAAACUACUGAGCUAGAGUACGGUAGAGGGUAGUGGAAUUUCCUGUGUAGCGGUGAAAUGNCGUAGNANNUAUNAGGAAGGAACACCAGUGGCGAAGGCGACUACCUGGACUGAUACUGACACUGAGGUGCGAAAGCAUGGGGAGCAAUCAGGAUUAGAUACCCUGGUAGUCCACGCCGUAAACGAUGUCGACUAGCCGUUGGGAUCCUUGAGAUCUUAGUGGCGCAGCUAACGCAUUAAGUCGACCGCCUGGGGAGUNACNCNUCNCGCAAGGUUAAAACUCAAAUGAAUUGACGGGGGCCCGCACAAGCGGUGGAGCAUGUGGUUUAAUUCGAAGCAACGCGAAGAACCUUACCUGGCCUUGACAUGCUGAGAACUUUCCAGAGAUGGAUUGGUGCCUUCGGGAACUCAGACACAGGUGCUGCAUGGCUGUCGUCAGCUCGUGUCGUGAGAUGGUAGAGUUAAGUCCCGUAACGAGCGCAACCCUUGUCCUUAGUUACCAGCACCUCGGGUGGGCACUCUAAGGAGACUGCCGGUGACAAACCGGAGGAAGGUGGGGAUGACGGGCGAGUCAUCAUGGCCCUUACGGCCAGGGCUACACACGUGCUACAAUGGUCGGUAAAAAGGGUUGCCAAGCCGCGAGGUGGAGCUAAUCCCAU